This is a non-coding RNA of Caenorhabditis elegans, 144 nucleotides long. Lineage: Eukaryota; Metazoa; Nematoda; Chromadorea; Rhabditida; Rhabditidae. The record is from Ensembl.
CCGAGUGAAGAAUACAUGAAGCUCGUGUCCUUUUAUACAUACUCUUAAACUUCGACAAGAUGUCCAUCGCAGCAUGUUGCAAUUCUGAAAGUAGCUUAGAGACCAUGCGGAUUGAAGAGACUCAGCAUGCUUAUCAGUCAUUGA